Mastomys coucha (southern multimammate mouse) is the source of this 144-nucleotide small nucleolar RNA. RefSeq annotates it as small nucleolar RNA SNORA48. The transcript has a single exon. The record is from RefSeq and is a predicted model, not a curated record. Lineage: Eukaryota; Metazoa; Chordata; Mammalia; Rodentia; Muridae.
AGUCCCUGGCAAUGGGCAAAGAAUCACCCUUGUUGGUGGUGUUGCUCUUAUAUCAGUCAGGAGCAGAGCAGAUGGUCAUCCUUGGUUCAUCCUAGUUUGGUGCCUGGCUUGGUGGCCAAAGCUGUUUUAUGCCAGGAAAUAUAA